UACGUAGGUGGCGAGCGUUAUCCGGAAUUAUUGGGCGUAAAGAGCGCGCAGGUGGUUGAUUAAGUCUGAUGUGAAAGCCCACGGCUUAACCGUGGAGGGUCAUUGGAAACUGGUCGACUUGAGUGCAGAAGAGGGAAGUGGAAUUCCAUGUGUAGCGGUGAAAUGCGUAGAGAUAUGGAGGAACACCAGUGGCGAAGGCGGCUUCCUGGUCUGUAACUGACACUGAGGCGCGAAAGCGUGGGGAGCAAAUAGGAUUAGAUA
Molecule: ribosomal RNA, 261 nt
Filed under: uncultured prokaryote
Description: partial 16S ribosomal RNA
Rfam family: Bacterial small subunit ribosomal RNA
Source: RNAcentral